This 101-nucleotide small nucleolar RNA is filed under the name Sciurus vulgaris (Eurasian red squirrel). RNAcentral describes it as "Small nucleolar RNA U13 (ENSSVLG00005022439.1)". It matches the Rfam family "Small nucleolar RNA U13". Lineage: Eukaryota; Metazoa; Chordata; Mammalia; Rodentia; Sciuridae. The record is from Rfam by way of RNAcentral.
AUCCUUUUUGAUUCAUAAGCAUGGUGAUUAGGAAUCUGCACUGUCCUGAGAUGUGCCUCCCUCUAAACCUUAUUAUGACUCUGGCACAUAUCCAUCUUACA